UACAGAGGGUGCAAGCGUUAAUCGGAAUUACUGGGCGUAAAGCGUGCGUAGACGGUUAUGUAAGUUAGGUGUGAAAGCCCCGGGCUCAACCUGGGAAUUGCAUUUAAGACUGCAUAGCUAGGGUGCGGAAGAGGGAAGCGGAAUUUCCGGUGUAGCGGUGAAAUGCGUAGAUAUUCGCAAGAACACCAGUGGCGAAGGCGGCUGACUGGUCCGGUUCUGACGCUGAGGCGCGAAAGCGUGGGGAGCAAACAGG
RNAcentral lists this ribosomal RNA (253 nucleotides) under uncultured bacterium. RNAcentral's name for it is "partial 16S ribosomal RNA". It matches the Rfam family "Bacterial small subunit ribosomal RNA", at positions 524 to 776 of the family's 1533-position model. The record is from RNAcentral.